AGCUCCAAUAGCGUAUAUUAAAGUUGUUGCGGUUAAAAAGCUCGUAGUUGGAUCUCGGCGGGCAGGGGGCGGUGCGUUCUUCGACGCGACUGCCCCAGUUGCCCGUGAUUUGUGGCGGAGGUUCCGGGGUGCUCUUAGCCGAGUGUCCCGGGGCGCCGCCAGGUUUACUUUGAAAAAAUUAGAGUGCUCAAAGCAGGCUUUACACGCUUGAAUAUUCGUGCAUGGAAUAAUAGAAUAGGACGUCGUUUCUAUUUUGUUGGUUUUCGGAAAUCGACGUAAUGAUUAAUAGGGACAGUCGGGGGCAUUAGUAUUCAGACGACAGAGGUGAAAUUCUUGGACCGUCUGAAGACUAACUACUGCGAAAGCAUUUGCCAAGAAUGUUUUCA
RNAcentral lists this ribosomal RNA (386 nucleotides) under uncultured eukaryote. RNAcentral's name for it is "SSU rRNA". It matches the Rfam family "Eukaryotic small subunit ribosomal RNA", at positions 587 to 972 of the family's 1831-position model. The record is from RNAcentral.